Molecule: transfer RNA, 70 nt
Filed under: Staphylococcus argenteus
Lineage: Bacteria; Bacillati; Bacillota; Bacilli; Caryophanales; Staphylococcaceae
Description: tRNA-Ile
Rfam family: tRNA (bases 10-63)
About the family: Transfer RNA (tRNA) molecules are approximately 80 nucleotides in length. Their secondary structure includes four short double-helical elements and three loops (D, anti-codon, and T loops). Further hydrogen bonds mediate the characteristic L-shaped molecular structure. tRNAs have two regions of fundamental functional importance: the anti-codon, which is responsible for specific mRNA codon recognition, and the 3' end, to which the tRNAs corresponding amino acid is attached (by aminoacyl-tRNA synthetases). tRNAs cope with the degeneracy of the genetic code in two manners: having more than one tRNA (with a specific anti-codon) for a particular amino acid; and 'wobble' base-pairing, i.e. permitting non-standard base-pairing at the 3rd anti-codon position.
Source: RNAcentral
GUUUUGAAUGUUUUGGUUAGAGCGCACGCCUGAUAAGCGUGAGGUCGGUGGUUCGAGUCCACUUAGGCCC